AGAGUUUGAUCAUGGCUCAGGAUGAACGCUAGCGGGAGGCCUAACACAUGCAAGUCGAGCGGUAAAUUGCCGAAAGGUGAUGAGAGCGGCGCACGGGUGAGUAACGCGUAUGCAACCUGCCCCGGACAAGGGGAUAGCCCGUUGAAAGACGGAUUAAUACCCGAUAACAUCACGGUUACGCAUGUAACAGUGAUCAAAGCUGAGGUGGUCCGGGAUGGGCAUGCGUGGCAUUAGCUAGUUGGUGAGGUAACGGCUCACCAAGGCAGUGAUGCCUAGGGGCUCUGAGAGGAUGAUCCCCCACACUGGUACUGAGAUACGGACCAGACUCCUACGGGAGGCAGCAGUGAGGAAUAUUGGUCAAUGGGCGGAAGCCUGAACCAGCCAUCCCGCGUGAAGGAAGACGGCCCUACGGGUUGUAAACUUCUUUUCUGCAGGAAUAAAGCGGUCUACGUGUAGGCAUUUGCAGGUACUGCAGGAAUAAGCAUCGGCUAACUCCGUGCCAGCAGCCGCGGUAAUACGGAGGAUGCAAGCGUUAUCCGGAUUCAUUGGGUUUAAAGGGUACGUAGGCGGCCUAAUAAGUCAGUGGUGAAAAUCUGUCGCUUAACGAUAGAAGUGCCAAUGAUACUGUGAGGCUUGAGUACAGAUGAGGUAAGCGGAAUGUGUAGUGUAGCGGUGAAAUGCAUAGAUAUUACACAGAACUCCGAUUGCGAAGGCAGCUUACUAAGUUGAGACUGACGCUGAUGUACGAAAGCGUGGGGAUCGAACAGGAUUAGAUACCCUG
RNAcentral lists this ribosomal RNA (781 nucleotides) under uncultured bacterium. RNAcentral's name for it is "bacterial SSU rRNA". It matches the Rfam family "Bacterial small subunit ribosomal RNA", at positions 8 to 789 of the family's 1533-position model. The record is from RNAcentral.